AGAGGUUUCCACUUGGGGAUGGGGCCUGCAGGGGAUCUGGUAACCUGGGGUCUGGGGCCAAGGCUGUGUGAGCUGGGCCAAGUCACUUCCCCUCUCUGGGCCUGGUCUCUCACUCCGAAAUGAAGAGGCUGAACUGGUGAUUCCAGAGGGAGAUUCCUUCUGAGGAUGGAGACACAUUCAGGGGGUGCUGAGGUCUGUAAGUUGGUUUCCUGCCCCCCCACCCCCUUGCCAUGUUGAGGACUGGCUCAUGCUCAGAGAUUUGGGGGCUAGAGUCAAGGGCAUGGGACCACACAGCCCUCCGGCCUUCACUCGGUGCCCCCAGGACAGCCUGUGCUUCUCGGCCUUGCUCACUUCUCUGUGGUCAGCUCAGAAUCCACAGCCUUAAACGGGAGAACUCAGGCCGGCCACUCAGGGAGAGGAAGUUCAGUAGCGUGAAACUAGGAAGGCAGCCUCUCCCCGUGGGCUGCGACAUGGAGUCCGGGGUUGCUAGCGCCUGGUCUGCUACCCCAUCCUGGCAUUUGUCACCCUCUCCCCGGAUCUGGGAACAGUACCUCCUCUCCCUAUCCCGCACCGUCUGCCACUCACCUUGCCUGACUCCCCAGGCCCAUUCUCCCUCUCCCGUUCCUGUCCUAUCCCCUAACUCCCAUGCAGAUCUGCAUCUGCCUAACUCCAUCCCAGCCCUCCUGGAAGGCUCCAGCUGAUGGAAAUACGGCGGGCAAUCUGGCUGGAGCAGCCGUGGAAGCACCCUCGCCUCCCCUCCAAGCCCCCCAGUCUGUCUAAGACCACUAAAGAAUCAGAGGGUACGGUAGUUGGUGUUGAGAACCAGGAGGCAAGUUACUUACAAUGUCUCGGAGCCCUUCAUCUCCCUGGCCAGCAUUCGCCUAGUGUUGGCUCUGUGCCAGGCAAGACUCUAUCCGUCUUACCUGUGCUCAUUUAAUCCUGGAAACAACUCUUAAGAACAAAGUACUAUGAUUAUCCCAUUUUACUUUGGGAGAUCUGAGGCAGAAGGGAGCCAAGAAACGAGCCCGAGUUCAUAGGGCUAGUAAGGGGCAGAGGCAGCGAUUUGAACCUGGAUUCUUACCACAUCGUGCUGGAUGUGGGGAGAGCCAACAAGGUGGCACGGGAGAGCACUCUGGAAGCUGGAAAGUGCUGGAUGCAUGUCCCCAGACUGGCUCCGUGGCCCAACUCUAACCAUCCUUCGUCCAUCGCUGGUUUCCCUUUUUCGGCAACAGCAGAGGGGGAGAAAAUCAAAACAAUAGGAGAAGCAAAGAGAAAGCCCAAGCCAGCUGGGUUUUUGCUGGGGCUGCUCCAAGCCACUUCCCCUCUCGCCCCAGCUUCGGUGGUGCAAGGAACAGGGAUGAGACUUGCCGGGCUUUCUCACUUUCCCUCUGGGUCCUCUUGCCCAGAGAUCAGAGGUGGCUACCACCUUUCCCCACCUCUCUCCUCAUCCAGCUGCCCCUGGCUCCGAAUGAGCCUAUCCUCUGUUCCUUCCUCUGUGCGAGGACAUCCAGGCACCCGACUUACUCCCCUUAGCUUCCGGAUCUAAUGGGCAAGUCAGGUUGGAACAGCGCCCCCUUCCUGUCUCUGCAGCUGGGUCCCUCACAGGAAUCCUGUUGCACGGUUGGUUUGCCAGGGAGUCCCCCGCAAUGGGCUGGGCCUAGAGGAAGGGAACAGGGGACCAUGCCAGAUUUUACCUCCGAAAAGCUCCAGCAAGGCAAGGCUCUGAGGAGCCGCUGCUGGGUACACGUUUGUCCAAUGAAUUGUGAACUGGGAGAAAAGGCGGGUGGGGUAAAAGCAGUAAGUUGCCACAAACAGGGACACAGAGCAAGCCCACCCUUCCUGGGCCUGGGCCUAGGGUGCUUCUGGGGUUACAAGGUUGCAGCUUGUCUCUGUUCUUUGCCUCUUGGCCACUGCCAGUGGUGCAGGCCUGGCAGAGAUAUGUAAUUAUAUGUUUCACAUAAUUGUUAAACUGCAUUGAAUAGGCAAGCUGGCCUCAUGCCCUUUCUCCCUGGAGGAUUCACGGAUCAGAGGGCUGCAUCUAUCCUGUUCCCUGCCUGCAGACAGCUGAAACCAAAAAUAUUCUGAACCUCAGUCUUUUUCACAGUCCUCAGAGCUACCCCAGUAUAAGCCCUCCCCCUUUGAGAGCGUGGGCCCACACUUAACAACACAGAUUCAAGUGAAUCUCUCCGGUUGUAUUUGCCCUGUUUUUAGUGGAAGUGGAGUUUCACUGCUAAAAGUCUGCUCCUUUUAAGCGCAGACUAUUGAAAGAAAACAUCUCUGUCCCAUCAUUAGAAGGGGAUAGCACGGACCAUUGGCCUCUGGAAGACCUUCUAGCACUGAUAGCCUGGACCACCGCGUUCCCAGCUCCUGCUGAAUGCUAAGCUGACGACCCUGGUCAUGCUUCCAAUGACUCUUUAGAUAGGCCAGCCUCUGCCAAGCGGUGGGCCUCCUGGAAGGCCCAGGGCAUAAAAACACAUCAAGACUGUUAGUGCCCUGACCCUUCCAGCUCCCAUGGCGCCUGAGUCCCCCGGAAGCAUCGGUGAAUGCCUGUUUGUCCUAGUAGUCUCGGAAAGGUGGGAGGAGCGUCCCCGCUUUCUCCAUAGGUGGGCAAGCGAGAAAUGAGGGGGGGCUGGCCCGGAAGCCCUCGAAGGCAGAGAGGACCUUGGCUCCAGAUUCCAAGGAGUUCAGUCAGCCAGAGGCUGGAAGUCAGUCUCAAGCAGGCCAAGAAGGAGUUAACCUCCAAGGAGAACGAGGGCUUCUCCCAGACCGGAGGCCUGUGCCCAGCUUCGCCUCUGCCAACUCCGGGAAGAAGUCCUGGGAUCUGUAGUUUGUGCCACCACCCACCCCUGGCCUGCCUGUUUAUCAACAACGUCUUGGGGACUACAGUUCCCAGAAACCUGCAGAGGCCAGGCUUUGGGGGAAGGGGUGGGGUGUGAGGCUCGGUGGCAGCAGGAGGGAGAGGGAGGAGGUGGGGAGAGAAAACCCAAUUCACCCCCUUCCUUUUUAAUUCUUUCUCCUGGUGUGUCUGCUCCACCGCCCGAGCUAAUCCCCCAAAUCCGGUCUCCUAAGCCGCAGCUGCUUUCCUUCGCAGUGAUGAAUGGCUCGGGGAGGGAAGCCCCCACUGCCGUCCACUUUGGUGGAGGACAUUGCCCAAAUCCGAGGCACUUAGGAGUUCCUGGUCUGCCAGCAUGAAGCCGUGGCUGUCUCCUCCCCCAGUGUCUAGCUUGCUCUGGGACCCUCUCUCUCUUGGUCCCUCCAACGUGUUCAAGCCGUCUCUGACCCACUGCCCCAGUUUGGCUGGACGUGCUAGGGCUGCCCCCCCCCCCUGCCCCGGGAGGGUACCUGGUAUAGAGAGGAGAAGAAGGGUUGAGGGACAGGGGAAGGGGUCAACAGGAAGGCUGGGAACCCCCUGGUGGUUGGGGAUGAUGAGCUGUGGGUUCACACCUCUGCUCAGCUCCCACAGAGCUGGCCAAGCAGAGGCUCUUUCUCGCCUCCAUACCCCAGAUCAUCUCAGAUCUGAGCUGGGGACAAAGGCCAGAGAGGCGGAUGGGGAAUACAUCCAAGCCACCAGCUUGCAGUCAGAUGCAGCCAACUGUGAGUUAGCGGGGGGAUCUGUCCUGUGUCCACCUUCCUUUCCUUCCUAUGCGGAGUUGAUGGGGGCCAUCUUUCUAUCCCUUAGCCUCUCCUGGGCUAGAGGCAUGGAAGCUGAGGCCGGAGGGGAAGCUGCAGGAUGGGAGGGGAAGUUUCCAUCACGAACACAGAUAAGUAGGGGCUGCCUCCAGGCGCUGGUCCACUUGCUUCAUUGAAACUCUGCACUCUGCCCAUUUCAGACACUCAAAACCCUUUCUCCUCAAGUAGACAGAGCAGGAGGAAGUUCAUCAGGACCUACCUUUUCCAGGAAGCCCUCCUGCUGGUGCUGAGACACUCUGCAAAGUGUGAAGGGAUCGAGGCAGUGUGGGCAAAGCAGAGAGAGACGUGGAGGCACAGCCCCGACAGCUCCCCAGAUCUUCUCCGGUGAGCAUCCCCCCAGCCUGGCCCAGGGCAUGCCCCAGUUCACUUUUGCCUGCUUCUGUGGCCUCCACGGCUUCUGCAAGAUGAAGAGGAAGAAGGAGGAAGUUCACAGACAGCGGGAAACGGCCGUGUGAGCCGGACCGGGCCCCUUCUGCAGCCUCCAGCAGGUUCCAGGCCUGAGGGCGCGCCCACAUCUGGAAGGACCCGCCUGGCCUUCUGGAGACCGGGAGACAGAGAAGCCUCGGGGCAGCCCCAGGAGUGAAACUUCUUUCCUGCCCUCAGGGCUCCAAGCCCUCCACUCAGGGUGACUCCUCGGCUGAGGGAUGUGCCGCCUUGGUGGGCUAGGAGCACUGCUCCUGGAUAGGAAACUGGACCUCCUAGCAGCCCCCACGCCGGGGGAGGCCUCAGGCAGGCCGGGCCGAGUGGAGGUGUAAGAGGAGCCCCCCUCCAAAGCCAGGAUGCAGUCUCUCCUGGGAGCCCGGGACUUGAGGCAGGAGCCUCUCCGCAGGAGCAUCCCUGAGAGAGGGGUCCUUUCCUGUCCCCUCCCAGCGUUCUCCUGGGCCAGGUGGAGCCAGGACCAAGGCGGGCAGCCAGGUUGGGAGUCGGAUGGCAGAGUGGGGACAGUGAGAGGCAGGCAACGUCCUCGUGGCAGGAGGCCAGCUCGGUGUCCCCUGGGCGCCUCCCUCUCCCGAACUCCAGAAGGCAGCUUUCUCUCCAGGCCUGGCCUCGCAGACCCUCUGACCCCUGUCACGCCUCCUUGCAGCGGCACAGAUGUGGGGGCCUGUUUCCCAGGCCCCGACUCCCCUUCUUGGGAACUGUCAUCCAGGACCAGACUGUGGGGCCCCCUUCCUGGACUGUGCCGUGUCCUCCCUUUAUUCUCCUGUCUCCUCGCCUCGCCCACCUGCCUCUACUUUCUCUUCUCAGAAGCCAUAGAGAGGGAAGGGCUUGCAUGUUGUGCCUUUGGGGGAAACGGGGUAGAGGGACCCUCUAGGACCUGCCUUGCCUUUUCCCCCUAAUCUCUGCACUAACCUCAAUCUUCCAGGGUCAGUCUCAGCCCCCUCUCCCAGCCUAUUUCCAGCUGGUAAGAAGCAGACAAAACCCCCUUUCCUUCUUCCUUCCUUCCCUCCUCCCUCCUCCCAUGUGAUCUAACUUACCCUUCUGUCACAGUGCCCGAACCUCUCGGGUGCUAGAGGGUCACACGGGCAGCAAUGGCAGUGGCAGAGACACUUUGGGCAGAUUCUGUAACUUUAGCAAGUCUGCCCUCUCCUUCAGCACAGAACAGGUCGGCCCAGGAACAAAGUCAGAUGCCCGGUAGCCUCUGGGGACAGAAUAUUCUUUCUGACAGUUAACAGGUGGGCUGGGGAGAGGAGGUCAGGAUCCCAGGACAGAAGGUGGGGCUGUGUGCCCUUUUCCUUGGAAUGUGCCUCUCUGGGCAGUCAGGGAGGGCAGAAGACCACCUGUGCUGGUUCAUCCGGAACCUGGGAGAAGCAAAGGCACAUUCUGUCCUCGAAGCUUUUCUUUGCCUGUCCAGCUCAUGCACCAUGCUCAGGGGCAUUUCCUGAGCUUCCGGCAGAUUUGGUGGGAGACAGGUCAUCUUUGUGAAGCCAGAGCACCGCUUCCGAUCCCUCUCCUCCCAUCCUCCAACCACCUCCUUUGCCUCUAGCACCCAGCCCCAGACCUGUACAAUCUGUUAGUUCCUUUUAUAUCCAAAGAACUAUAAACAGAAGUCCUUCCCUCAAGGAAACAGCAAUAAAGGCCAGUGGGGUCACAAGGGACAGAGGAAAAGCUCCCCGGUUCUUUGGCCUCUUGGACGGUAGAGGCCUUGGGAGAGGCAGAGACGGGCAGAAAACGCUUUCAAGGGUACCUUGAUCGGGCGGCAGGGGAGCCCGCCUGGAGGGCAUGUGUGUCCCUAGCGGUGGCCUGUGAGGCUGCAGGCUUACAGAAGCCACUCUUGCGGUGGAGGAUGAAAUUGUAUCCCUGGAACCUCAGAGGUGUUGGGUGUUAGGUCCUGACCACAUGGGCUCACCCGGAGGAAAGGUCAGGAGAGGUGGCGAAGGAGGGUUUUGCCCCUGCGUACCUCUCGGGGCUCGGCAGCGAUGUCCGCUGCAGGGGUCUGGCAGUAAGCCCGUCCAGAGAGCUUCUUCCCCCAGGGAGAACUCCUUUGACUCCAAAGGGAUACCGGAUAUCUGGAGCCCCUGCUACGGGAGCAUGGGAGAGGUCCCAAGGUCAGGGCAUCACUGGUCUGAGUGGAGGGCUAGCCGUGCCUGCAGACAGCAGCCCGUGGCCCCUCCUUCAUCCUGGGUGAAGGUGGGGGCAAAUGCCUUGCUGAGUAGGAGGCGGCAACAGCUUUGAGCCAGACACACCCCUCGUCCCACCGUCCCUCCCUCGGUCUCCUUCUCAGGGAAAUGGUGACUUGGCUCCUCUCAGCGCCUGGAGCCGAUCUGGAGACCUGUGCCUGCCCGUCUGCCUCUGGGUGAGCCCAGGGGAGAGGUUUCAUCCAAAAAUGCAGAAGCAGCUCUCGUGUCCACAGACUGUGUGCCCCAGGCCUCUGGCUCACAGUCCGGGCUUUUCUUCCUUCUGUUUCUUUUGGGGCAUCGAGGUCUGGCCACCCUGUUUAUUGCCCUGCCCUGAGGCUCCUCCCCAGGGGACAGGUUGGACCAUUUUGCCCUCCCCGUUCCUAAUUCCCUCCACCCCACAGUUCUCUCCCAGACUACCUUGAGGAGGGGGACGGGAACUCCUGGGUGGAGGAAGGGGGCACAAGAGUCGAUGGUUCUGGAAGGAGGCCGGCCUCUCCUUCUUGCUGUGUGGCACUGAGUCCUUGCUGGAGGGCGGGAGGCCCUGGCCUCCCUGGGCCUCAGUUUUCCCCUCUUGUGCUGCGGGCUGUUGAAUGGGGGAUAAAGAAACGUGAGGGGUGCAUGAGCUUCUUGUGACUUGAAUGUUGUCUGGGGCCAGGCCCUAGGGACCCUGAGGGGCUUCUUGAAGUCUUUUCUUUUCUUUUCUUUUCUUUUCUUUUCUUUUAGUAGAAUAUCAUUUCCUUCUCCACUCCCAGGGAAGGGCUUUUUGGAUGUCGCAGGAGUCAACAGAAAUAUAUACAGAGAUUGUUAUUUUUGAAACAAAUAAAAAGAGCAAUAAUGUAACUGAAAUAUGCA
This is a long non-coding RNA of Felis catus (domestic cat), 7160 nucleotides long. RefSeq lists it as uncharacterized. The transcript is spliced from 3 exons. The record is from RefSeq and is a predicted model, not a curated record. NCBI's taxonomy places the organism in Eukaryota, Metazoa, Chordata, Mammalia, Carnivora, Felidae.